RNAcentral lists this ribosomal RNA (468 nucleotides) under uncultured bacterium. RNAcentral's name for it is "partial 16S ribosomal RNA". It matches the Rfam family "Bacterial small subunit ribosomal RNA", at positions 28 to 507 of the family's 1533-position model. The record is from RNAcentral.
GACGAACGCUGGCGGCUUGCUUAACACAUGCAAGUCGAACGGAAAGGCCCUGCUUUUGUUGGGUGCUCGAGUGGCGAACGGGUGAGUAACACGUGAGUAACCUGCCCUUGACUUUUGGAUAACUUCAGGAAACUGGGGCUAAUACCGGAUAGGAGCUCCUGCUGCAUGGUGGGGGUUGGAAAGUUUCGGCGGUUGGGGAUGGACUCGCGGCUUAUCAUCUUGUUGGUGGGGUAGUGGCUUACCAAGGCUUUGACGGGUAGCCGGCCUGAGAGGGUGACCGGCCACAUUGGGACUGAGAUACGGCCCAGACUCCUACGGGAGGCAGCAGUGGGGAAUAUUGCACAAUGGGCGGAAGCCUGAUGCAGCAACGCCGCGUGCGGGAUGACGGCCUUCGGGUUGUAAACCGCUUUCGCCUGUGACGAAGCGUGAGUGACGGUAAUGGGUAAAGAAGCACCGGCUAACUACGUG